This 253-nucleotide ribosomal RNA is filed under the name uncultured bacterium. RNAcentral describes it as "partial 16S ribosomal RNA". It matches the Rfam family "Bacterial small subunit ribosomal RNA", at positions 524 to 776 of the family's 1533-position model. The record is from RNAcentral.
UACGUAGGGGGCUAGCGUUGUCCGGAAUCAUUGGGCGUAAAGCGCGCGUAGGCGGCCCAGUAAGUCCGUUGUAAAAGUCAAAGGCUCAACCUUUGAAAGCCGAUGGAUACUGCUGGGCUAGAGUCCGGAAGAGGCGAGUGGAAUUCCUGGUGUAGCGGUGGAAUGCGUAGAGAUCGGGAAGAACAUCAGUGGCGAAGGCGGCCUGCUGGGCAGUUUCUGACACUGAGGCGCGACAGCGUGGGGAGCAAACAGG